UUCUAUGAUGACAGCAUGUCGCCCCAAACAGAUAUCGUUUAACUUAUGAUCGAUUCGAUUCAAGCCAAACACUGAAAAUUCUGAUC
This 86-nucleotide small nucleolar RNA is filed under the name Petasospora fabianii. Lineage: Eukaryota; Fungi; Ascomycota; Saccharomycetes; Phaffomycetales; Wickerhamomycetaceae. The record is from RNAcentral.